ACUGUGGAGUGUUGUAUAAACGUUGGUAGCUACGGCAAAGACGGACACGACGAAGCAGUAA
This 61-nucleotide non-coding RNA is filed under the name unclassified sequences. RNAcentral describes it as "RAGATH-18 RNA". It matches the Rfam family "RAGATH-18 RNA". From Rfam's summary of the family: Actinobacteria, Firmicutes, Fusobacteria, Thermotogae (1 example). Nearby to self-cleaving ribozyme genes The record is from Rfam by way of RNAcentral.